This 490-nucleotide ribosomal RNA is filed under the name uncultured bacterium. RNAcentral describes it as "partial 16S ribosomal RNA". It matches the Rfam family "Bacterial small subunit ribosomal RNA", at positions 30 to 507 of the family's 1533-position model. The record is from RNAcentral.
AUUGAACGCUGGCGGCAGGCCUAACACAUGCAAGUCGAACGGUAACAGGAAGAAGCUUGCUUCUUUGCUGACGAGUGGCGGACGGGUGAGUAAUGUCUGGGAAACUGCCUGAUGGAGGGGGAUAACUACUGGAAACGGUAGCUAAUACCGCAUAACGUCGCAAGAACAAAGAGGGGGACCUUCGGGCCUCUUGCCAUCGGAUGUGCCCAGAUGGGAUUAGCUAGUAGGUGGGGUAACGGCUCACCUAGGCGACGAUCCCUAGCUGGUCUGAGAGGAUGACCAGCCACACUGGAACUGAGACACGGUCCAGACUCCUACGGGAGGCAGCAGUGGGGAAUAUUGCACAAUGGGCGCAAGCCUGAUGCAGCCAUGCCGCGUGUAUGAAGAAGGCCUUCGGGUUGUAAAGUACUUUCAGCGGGGAGGAAGGGAGUAAAGUUAAUACCUUUACUCAUUGACGUUACCCGCAGAAGAAGCACCGGCUAACUCCGUG